AUUGAACGCUGGCGGCAGGCUUAACACAUGCAAGUCGAGCGGGGUGAUGGUGCUUGCACUAUCACUUAGCGGCGGACGGGUGAGUAAUGCUUAGGAAUCUGCCUAUUGGUGGGGGACAACAUCUCGAAGGGGAUGCUAAUACCCAUUAGGUCCUACGGAGGAAAGCAGGGGAUCACUGGUGACCUUGCGCUAUUAGAUGAGCCUAGGUCGGAUUGGCUAGUUGGUGGGGUAAAGGCCUCCCAAGGCGACGAUCUGUAGCGGGGCUGAGAGGAUGAUCCGCCACACUGGGACUGAGACACGGCCCAGACUCCUACGGGAGGCAGCAGUGGGGAAUAUUGGACAAUGGGGGAAACCCUGAUCCAGCCAUGCCGCGUGUGUGAAGAAGGCCUUAUGGUUGUAAAGCACUUUAAGCGAGGAGGAGGCUCUUUUGGUUAAUACCCAAGAUGAGUGGACGUUACUCGCAGAAUAAGCACCGGCUAACUCUGUGCCAGCCGCCGCGGUAA
RNAcentral lists this ribosomal RNA (503 nucleotides) under uncultured bacterium. RNAcentral's name for it is "partial 16S ribosomal RNA". It matches the Rfam family "Bacterial small subunit ribosomal RNA", at positions 30 to 523 of the family's 1533-position model. The record is from RNAcentral.